UUACGGCCACAUCACGUUGAAACGGUGGUUCCUGUACGAUCACCGAAGUUAAGCAACGUCGAAUCUGGUCAGUACCUAGAUGGGUGACCGCUUGUGAAUAACAGAUGCUGUGA
This is a non-coding RNA of Acanthosepion pharaonis, 113 nucleotides long. The record is from the annotation of a GenBank genome assembly. Lineage: Eukaryota; Metazoa; Mollusca; Cephalopoda; Sepiida; Sepiidae.